UACGAAGGGGGCUAGCGUUGUUCGGAAUUACUGGGCGUAAAGGGCUCGUAGGCGGCCAACUAAGUCGGAUGUGAAAUCCCCAGGCUUAACCUGGGAACUGCAUCCGAUACUGGAUGGCUUGAAUCCGGGAGAGGGAUGCAGAAUUCCAGGUGUAGCGGUGAAAUGCGUAGAUAUCUGGAGGAAUACCGGUGGCGAAGGCGGCAUCCUGGACCGGCAUUGACGCUGAGGGAGCGAAAGCCAGGGGAGCAAACGGG
This 254-nucleotide ribosomal RNA is filed under the name uncultured bacterium. Its description in RNAcentral is "partial 16S ribosomal RNA". It matches the Rfam family "Bacterial small subunit ribosomal RNA", at positions 524 to 776 of the family's 1533-position model. The record is from RNAcentral.